This 506-nucleotide ribosomal RNA is filed under the name uncultured Glomeromycotina. Its description in RNAcentral is "SSU rRNA". It matches the Rfam family "Eukaryotic small subunit ribosomal RNA", at positions 569 to 1077 of the family's 1831-position model. The record is from RNAcentral. Lineage: Eukaryota; Fungi; Glomeromycota.
AGCAGCCGCGGUAAUUCCAGCUCCAAUAGCGUAUAUUAAAGUUGUUGCAGUUAAAAAGCUCGUAGUUGAAUUUCGGGAUCGAAUUGCUGGUCGUGCUUCGGUACGCACUGGCAUUAUCGGUUUCUACCUUCUGAAGAACCGCGAUGUCAUUAAUUUGGUGUCGUGGGGAAUCAGGACUGUUACUUUGAAAAAAUUAGAGUGUUUAAAGCAGGCUUACGCUUGAAUACAUUAGCAUGGAAUAAUGAAAUAGGACGUUUGAUUCUAUUUUGUUGGUUUCUAGGAUCGACGUAAUGAUUAAUAGGGAUAGUUGGGGGCAUUAGUAUUCAAUUGUCAGAGGUGAAAUUCUUGGAUUUAUUGAAGACUAACUACUGCGAAAGCAUUUGCCAAGGAUGUUUUCAUUAAUCAAGAACGAAAGUUAGGGGAUCGAAGACGAUCAGAUACCGUCGUAGCCUUAACCAUAAACUAUGCCGACUAGGGAUCGGAUGAUGUUAAUUUUAUAAUGACUC